RNAcentral lists this non-coding RNA (27 nucleotides) under Mus musculus (house mouse). Lineage: Eukaryota; Metazoa; Chordata; Mammalia; Rodentia; Muridae. The record is from RNAcentral.
UGGAGCCGCCUUUGUUAACAGCAACAA